AAUUGCAAAAUACAAAGACAUGUCUAAAUUAAGAGGUGUAGCCCUGAGUGUUUAUUGUCCCUUUAAAAGACACAUAAACAUUGCCCCUUUAAAUUUUGAUUUCAGUAACGGAGUUCUGAUGAUAAGAAUUACAGUGACAUUUGGUGAUAAUACUGUUGUGAUGUAUUUUUAGAAAAAGGGUUACCGUUGUGAAACUCAGCUUCACCAAUAGAGGGCACCCUAAGCUGUACACUCGGCUGAAGAUUGGCAGAGACAGAGACAUGUCACUUCCUCAAUCCUCAAUACAUAUAUUUAAGGAAAACCCGUAACGGCAAAGAUGGCGGUUGUGUGCACAUUUCCCGCCGCUCCCGCUGGAAAGCCAAUCAUAUGCUUUUAAAAGUCAAGCCGGGAAACAUUAAAGCAUAUCGUCUGGUUCCUCUGACGUAUUCGCACAGUUGAGGAACCCUUGCGCAUGCGUAGUAAAGAUAGGAGCUGGUCUUGUUAUUCUGAAAUAGCUGCCCGGAGGUGUUACCAAGAUGGCGGCCGAGUGGCACGACUUGCCUGAAAGGACUUUGGGAUUGGUCACUGACGCUAGUAGAGUGAAAGAGCGAUCAGUAUGUAAUGAGUGAGUUUGCACACGCUACAGAGAGUGUUGCCGAUCUAAACUGUCUUUCUCAUACUUUCAUACAGAAAUAACUGUGUUGCACAAAAGAAGAGCACUGCCUCAUCUUUGAAAACUGUAACAGAGGCAACAAAUCAAGUACAUUGAUUUGUGUUGCUUUUCAUGCUACAUGUACUAAAGCAGAAAAUAUGACAGGCUCCAAACCUUAAAAUGUAGAACCUACUGUUCCUAAAGAUGGAUUACUCAUAUCAAAAUUACUGUCUAUCAGUUUUUUUUAUGAAGUUCUUAGUAAACUAUGCUAGAAAAAUGUGAAAAAUCAGCUGAUACAUUUCCAUGAUUUUAUGGUAAAAACAAAAAUUUUAAGUGAGAUGUAUCCUAAAGAGGCCAUAUAACAUUGUUUAAUAUAUUGGUUUCUUUAAAUAUUGAUAUUUUAAUAGAUUGGUUAUUGGAUGUUAGGAAAGGGAUGUCCCUUUAAACCACAAUGGUUUCAUGCUGUCCUCAUAAACACUAUAUACCUGUGUGUGUGUGUGUGCGUGCGUGUGUGUGUUUUUAAUAAAUCAUGUUAUUGUUUGACUUCUCAGGAUUUUGUGAAGAAUAUUUGUGGUUCUGAACAUUUCUGGAUUGGUUUGACUGAUAUUGAAGUGGAGGGCAGAUGGAAAUGGGUUGAUGGCAGCACACUGACCUCUGGGUUCUGGGCGUCUGGAGAACCAAACAAUCAGGGAAACGAAGACUGUGCUAAUACACAUUCAUCAGGAUGCUUUGAUACUCCAUGUGAUA
Molecule: long non-coding RNA, 1378 nt
Organism: Carassius auratus (goldfish)
Lineage: Eukaryota; Metazoa; Chordata; Actinopteri; Cypriniformes; Cyprinidae
Exons: 3
Source: RefSeq, a predicted model, not a curated record